This 24-nucleotide non-coding RNA is filed under the name Arabidopsis thaliana (thale cress). The record is from RNAcentral. Lineage: Eukaryota; Viridiplantae; Streptophyta; Magnoliopsida; Brassicales; Brassicaceae.
UAGGAGAUAAACAUCAUUAGAACA